CGCUUAAAGACACUGUGGCAGUUCCAAAUGGGGGAUUCACAAUUGUCCGUUUUCACGCCACGAAUCCAGGUUUUUGGUUGUUCCAUUGUCACAUACUAAUUCACUCAGAAAGCGGCAUGUCUCUUGUUAUCAAAGUCGGUGACCCAAAGAAAGACUUUCCGCCAAUUCCACGCAAUUUCCCGCGUUGUGGCACGUGGAAUUUCGAGAACGAGGAAGAGCAGACGACGAGUGCCAAGUGCCCGGAUGAUUCCGCCGGUGUUCAAAAAAUCCGUGCAUCAGAAGGAACAAGGCUAAAUAGCAUGUCUACACUGGUUAAUUUCGCAAUUCUUUGGUUACUAGUUCCUUUAAUUAUUGUUUAAUGUUUUCUGUGUAUUUCAUUUAAAUUUCGCCCGGUUGUGCCACAAAACGCACAAUAGCAGUUGAAAAAUAUUUUUGUUAUUGGGAUUAAGCCUUCAUUCUUUUUUGUUAGUUCAGAUUAUGUGAUCCAAAACUGCUCUCAGCCUGAGCAUGGUGUCCUUUUUUUUAGUUUCUUUUUUAAGUAAAAAUGAAUGAAUAAUUAUGACAGUGAAAGGUGACACCUUGCCUCAAUUGUUGACGUUGACACAAUUUCUAAAUUUCAAAACAUAACUGAACCUUGAAACUGAACCUUGAAAAGUGCCCCAAACUUGAAAAGUUGGAGGUACAUUACAUGCAGGUUAAAUGCGUGCCCAGAGCUGGUAUCCCCCGGUAAUCCCAGUCUUUUAACUAUUAACAAUGGUAAGGUAAAUUGUUAUGGGUCGUUAAUUACCCAAAAUAUUGCAAGCAUUUCUGCAGUGCAGGAUUAUGACAAAUAUAUAAACAUAAUAAAUAAUAAUAAUAAU
Molecule: long non-coding RNA, 860 nt
Organism: Lingula anatina
Lineage: Eukaryota; Metazoa; Brachiopoda; Lingulata; Lingulida; Lingulidae
Source: RefSeq, a predicted model, not a curated record